RNAcentral lists this ribosomal RNA (2887 nucleotides) under Sulfurimonas paralvinellae. RNAcentral describes it as "23S ribosomal RNA". It matches the Rfam family "Bacterial large subunit ribosomal RNA". The record is from RNAcentral. Lineage: Bacteria; Pseudomonadati; Campylobacterota; Epsilonproteobacteria; Campylobacterales; Sulfurimonadaceae.
AUAAAAGAUAUUAAGGGCCAUAGGUGGAUGCCUUGGCUAGUAGAGGCGAUGAAAGACGUACUAGGCUGCGAAAAGCCUCGGGGAGCUGCCAAGAAGCUUUGAUCCGGGGAUUUCUGAAUGGGGCAACCCGGCAUGGCGCGAGUCAUGUCACCUUCGGGGGCGAACGCAGGGAAGUGAAACAUCUCAGUACCUGCAGGAAAAGAAAUCAAACGAGAUUCCGAGAGUAGCGGCGAGCGAAAUUGGAAUAGGGCACUUACAUUUAGCACAUUUGUUAGCAGAACUGUCUGGAAAGUCAGAGCAUAGAGGGUGAUACUCCCGUAAGCGAAAACAUUUGUGUGGAACUAAGGUAAGGAAUGAGUAGGUCGGGACACGUGUUAUCUUGACUGAAUAUGGGGGACCACCCUCCAACCCUAAAUACUACUACUAGACCGAUAGCGAACAAGUACCGUGAGGGAAAGGUGAAAAGGACCGCGGUGAGCGGAGUGAAAUAGAACCUGAAACCUAUGGCUUACAAUCAUUCGGAGCACUAUUAAAUAAGUGUGACGGACUGCCUUUUGCAUAAUGAGCCUGCGAGUUGUGGUAUCUGGCAAGGUUAAUCGAACGAGAAGCCGUAGCGAAAGCGAGUCUUAAUAGGGCGACAUAGUCAGAUGCUGCAGACCCGAAACUGAGUGAUCUAUCCAUGAGCAGGUUGAAGCUGGUGUAAGAGCCAGUGGAGGACCGAACCGGUGGAAGUUGAAAAUUCCUCGGAUGACUUGUGGAUAGGGGUGAAAGGCCAAUCAAACUCAGUGAUAGCUGGUUCUCUCCGAAAUAUAUUUAGGUAUAGCCUCGAGCAUUAGCGUAUAGGGGUAGAGCACUGACAGGGCUAGGGCUGCUUACCGCGGUACCAAACCCUAUCAAACUCCGAAUACUAUACGUGUAACCUCGGGAGUCAGGCGUAGGGUGAUAAAAUCCUAUGUCGAGAGGGGAACAACCCAGACUAGCAGCUAAGGUCCCAAAGUCGUAUCUAAGUGGAAAAGGAUGUGGAGUUGCUGUGACAACCAGGAGGUUGGCUUAGAAGCAGCCAUCCUUUAAAGAAAGCGUAACAGCUCACUGGUCUAGCGAUUCUGCGCCGAAAAUAUAACGGGGCUAAGAUACGCACCGAAGCUCUAGAUUCAUAGUUUACUAUGAGUGGUAGGAGAGCGUUCCAUUCAGCGUUGAAGGUGUACCGGUAAGGAGCACUGGAGCGGAUGGAAGUGAGCAUGCAGGCAUGAGUAGCGAGAAAAGAAGUGAGAAUCUUCUUCGCCGAAAACCCAAGGUUUCCUACGCGAUGCUCGUCAUCGUAGGGUUAGUCGGGACCUAAGUCGAGUCCGAAAGGGGUAGACGAUGGCAAAUCGGUUAAUAUUCCGAUACCGACAUAUCAUCAUUUGAGUGAUGGGGGGACGCAUAGAGUUAGACGAGGUCACUGAUGGAAUAGUGGCUCGAAGGGUGUAGGUUGUGAAGUAGGCAAAUCCGCUUCACAUUCGACCGAGACCCGACAGGCAGUUCAAUCUCUUCGGAGAGCGAACUGAAUCGUCGAUACUGUCGUGCCGAGAAAAGCCUCUAAACGAGAUGGUAUGUCGCCCGUACCGUAAACCGACACAGGUGGGUGAGAUGAGUAUUCUAAGGCGCGUGGAUGAACCCUUGUUAAGGAACUCUGCAAACUAGCACCGUAUCUUCGGUAUAAGGUGUGCCCUUGAUGUUAGGAGAUUUACUCUCCAAAGCAUCUCUGGGUCGCAGCAAAGAGUCCCUCCCGACUGUUUACCAAAAACACAGCACUCUGCUAACACGUAAGUGGAUGUAUAGGGUGUGACGCCUGCCCGGUGCUCGAAGGUUAAAAGGAUUGCUUAGCAUUAGCGAAGGCAUGAAUUGAAGCCCGAGUAAACGGCGGCCGUAACUAUAACGGUCCUAAGGUAGCGAAAUUCCUUGUCGGUUAAAUACCGACCUGCAUGAAUGGCGUAACGAGAUGGGAGCUGUCUCAACAAGGGAUCCAGUGAAAUUGUAGUGGAGGUGAAAAUUCCUCCUACCCGCGGAAAGACGGAAAGACCCCGUGCACCUUUACUAUAGCUUGACACUGCUAUUGGGAUAUUCAUGUGCAGGAUAGGUGGGAGCCUUUGAUUCAUAGUCGCCAGAUUAUGAUGAGGCAUCCUUGAGAUACCACCCUUGAAUAUUCUGAUAGCUAACUCCGUACGAUUAUCUCGUGCGAGGACAAUGUCUGGUGGGUAGUUUGACUGGGGCGGUCGCCUCCUAAAAAGUAACGGAGGCUUACAAAGGUUGGCUCAGGUGGGUUGGAAAUCCACCGUAGAGUAUAAUGGCAUAAGCCAGCCUGACUGUGAGACAUACAAGUCGAGCAGAGUCGAAAGACGGUCAUAGUGAUCCGGUGGUUCUGUGUGGAAGGGCCAUCGCUCAAAGGAUAAAAGGUACGCCGGGGAUAACAGGCUGAUCUCCCCAAGAGCUCACAUCGACGGGGAGGUUUGGCACCUCGAUGUCGGCUCAUCGCAUCCUGGGGCUGGAGCAGGUCCCAAGGGUAUGGCUGUUCGCCAUUUAAAGCGGUACGCGAGCUGGGUUCAGAACGUCGUGAGACAGUUCGGUCCCUAUCUUCCGUGGGCGUAGGAUUGUUGAGGAGAGCUGACCCUAGUACGAGAGGACCGGGUUGGACGAACCACUGGUGCACCAGUUGUCCUGCCAAGGGCAUAGCUGGGUAGCUACGUUCGGAUGAGAUAACCGCUGAAAGCAUCUAAGCGGGAAGCCAACUCCAAGAUGAACAAUCCCUGAAGACCGCUUGAAGACUACAAGCUUGAUAGGCUGGAUGUGUACGCGCAGCAAUGCGUUUAGCUGACCAGUACUAAUAGGUCGUUUGUCUUUUUUUAUG